RNAcentral lists this small nuclear RNA (161 nucleotides) under Nicotiana attenuata. RNAcentral's name for it is "snRNA U1". It matches the Rfam family "U1 spliceosomal RNA". From Rfam's summary of the family: U1 is a small nuclear RNA (snRNA) component of the spliceosome (involved in pre-mRNA splicing). Its 5' end forms complementary base pairs with the 5' splice junction, thus defining the 5' donor site of an intron. There are significant differences in sequence and secondary structure between metazoan and yeast U1 snRNAs, the latter being much longer (568 nucleotides as compared to 164 nucleotides in human). Lineage: Eukaryota; Viridiplantae; Streptophyta; Magnoliopsida; Solanales; Solanaceae. The record is from Rfam by way of RNAcentral.
AUACUUACCUGGACGGGGUCAAUGGGCGAUCAAAGAGACUCAUAGCCUAGGCUAGUGACCUCCAUUGCACUUUGGAGGGGUGCUAGCCUAAGGUCGGCCCAAGUGGUCGAGCCUACGUCAUAAUUUGUGGUAGUGGGGGCCUGCGUUCGCGCGGCCCCUAU